Molecule: long non-coding RNA, 1905 nt
Organism: Passer domesticus (house sparrow)
Lineage: Eukaryota; Metazoa; Chordata; Aves; Passeriformes; Passeridae
Exons: 3
Source: RefSeq, a predicted model, not a curated record
GGUGCAGCGGGGAGCCCCGAGAGCGGCCCAAAUGGACCUGCUCUCUUUAAAAAGACAGCAGCUAAUUAUGCUAAUUCCACAUUAGGGCUGCAGAGCCGACAAGCGGCGAAUGGUGAAUGUUGAGUCCCUGCAGCCACACGCGCCGGGAACGCCGAGCCCAGCGCUCGCUCGGAGGAACCCCCAUUUUAAGCACUAUGCCCUCCUCCCUCAAGGACAGGAGGUUCGCGCUCAGACCGAAGUUAAUCCAGGUUGUAACCAGAGUGCCCACACCACACGCACGCAAAAAGCCGAGAUCAAGGUCCAGACACGGAACACCCCCAGGACAGCGGAGCAAACUCGGUCUCCGGCUCCUUGCCUGCUUCAAGUCCCAGGCUGCAACUCUGCCAUUAGGCAGACACUCCACAGCCUCUUCCCAACAAUUUCCAUAGGUAACCGCUCUAACAGCGGCUGAAACAGAGAAUCCCAGCACCCUGUAACAUUAAAAAAAAAUCUGCAGGGUGUUUCCAGAUGUUACCCUGAAUGUGCAGAAACAGUAAAGAAGACAGUUCAGCAAAAGGAUAUGGUGACGCAGGUAUGAGCCUGCUGUGAGGAGCCUUGCUCCUGAGUCAGCCCAACACAGCCACCAUUCACUAUUUUUAUACAUAUAUAGGGAUAUUUGAGGAACCAAAAGGGUGAGCACCAAGCAACCAGCCAAUGCUCCCAGCACGCUUAAAUGAGAGUGCUUCACACCAUUUACUACGACCUUCAACACUACACCACAACGUUUAUGGAAACUAUCGAACUGAGGUUGUUGGGAGUAGUGUGUCUUAACUGACCGAUGGCAUCUUCUGGACAGCCAGCAUCACAGUAAGAGUUAUGGUGAUACCUGGAGCAGCAAGGAAUUAAGACAUAGUGAGUUGAAAAUACCAGCUGCUUUUUACACUCCACCUCUAAGUUUAACCCACUCAAGAGAUUCAUUUUACAAAGUUGGAAACAAACUAUCACAUUAAAAAACCCCACAAACCAAAGAACCAUUAUUUUCAAUUGUUCAUCACUGGCUCUAUUAGGUCUUGCAAAUUAUCGGUUUUCAGGCACAGAAAAGGAUUACUUCACACUGCUAAUGCUGCCCCUACUUGUUAACAGUAGCAAUGCUCGGAAUCCCAAUGGCACAAAAGCAGUCACUACCCUAAGUGUCACAACUAUCAUGGCAUUUACUGGUGCCCCAGCGGCAAAAAUGGCCUGCAAUCAACAUGCUCAAAAUUCCAGCAAUCCAUGUAUACCAGCAUUCCCAAGGAUUCAGCACUGCUGGAGCUACACCAGUGCAACCAAGCCUUUACUUCAGGGCAUUUGCAAAGCGACAAAGUCUUCAGAAUACAGAGGACCAGAGUUUUCUAAGGAGAGGUGAAGAGUGGAUGUUAUACUAGACCAGAGACAUGAAGCAUUUUUCUCCAUCUUAAGCAAAACGUCGUGAUGAGUGAGAAGCCUGCUUCUCAACAGCUCAACUUUAAACCUGAAAGCUAUAAAUAACUCCUUGGCUGCUGAUAAUCCCAACAGAAUCAUCCUGUCAGAUUAUUCAUACCACUAAAGUCAACUCAAGAUCGAAGGUUUCCUUUCGAACCACCAGUAACACUCAUCAGGUUCCAUACAACAGUAUGUUUAUCAAACCCAGCAGCAGUAACUAAAUUAAAACUGAUAAGGUGGUAAGCAGCCUUGUGCAGAGGAAAGGGGGAACGGUGCUUAUUCACUGGCAGCAGCAAUUACAAGAGCUAAAGACAACAUUUCUAAAAAUCAUUCACAUGCGGGACAGGAUUGGAAGAUACCGUGCCUUUCCAACUAUCUAGUUCUUACAAUCUUCCUGUAUUUAUUUAGAAGAGUAUCAAAGUUUCCUAUGUUAAACUAUCCUUUUGUUUUGUUGGCUUUUACAAG